AAUGGGUCAGCGACUUAUAUUCUGUAGCAAGGUUAACCGAAUAGGGGAGCCGAAGGGAAACCGAGUCUUAACUGGGCGUUAAGUUGCAGGGUAUAGACCCGAAACCCGGUGAUCUAGCCAUGGGCAGGUUGAAGGUUGGGUAACACUAACUGGAGGACCGAACCGACUAAUGUUGAAAAAUUAGCGGAUGACUUGUGGCUGGGGGUGAAAGGCCAAUCAAACCGGGAGAUAGCUGGUUCUCCCCGAAAGCUAUUUAGGUAGCGCCUCGUGAAUUCAUCUCCGGGGGUAGAGCACUGUUUCGGCAAGGGGGUCAUCCCGACUUACCAACCCGAUGCAAACUGCGAAUACCGGAGAAUGUUAUCACGGGAGACACACGGCGGGUGCUAACGUCCGUCGUGAAGAGGGAAACAACCCAGACCGCCAGCUAAGGUCCCAAAGUCAUGGUUAAGUGGGAAACGAUGUGGGAAGGCCCAGACAGCCAGGAUGUUGGCUUAGAAGCAGCCAUCAUUUAAAGAAAGCGUAAUAGCUCACUGGUCGAGUCGGCCUGCGCGGAAGAUGUAACGGGGCUAAACCAUGCACCGAAGCUGCGGCAGCGACGCUUAUGCGUUGUUGGGUAGGGGAGCGUUCUGUAAGCCUGUGAAGGUGUGCUGUGAGGCAUGCUGGAGGUAUCAGAAGUGCGAAUGCUGACAUAAGUAACGAUAAAGCGGGUGAAAAGCCCGCUCGCCGGAAGACCAAGGGUUCCUGUCCAACGUUAAUCGGGGCAGGGUGAGUCGACCCCUAAGGCGAGGCCGAAAGGCGUAGUCGAUGGGAAACAGGUUAAUAUUCCUGUAC
Molecule: ribosomal RNA, 831 nt
Filed under: Escherichia coli
Lineage: Bacteria; Pseudomonadati; Pseudomonadota; Gammaproteobacteria; Enterobacterales; Enterobacteriaceae
Description: partial 23S ribosomal RNA
Rfam family: Bacterial large subunit ribosomal RNA
Source: RNAcentral